This 941-nucleotide non-coding RNA is filed under the name Trichomonas vaginalis G3. RNAcentral's name for it is "Eukaryotic large subunit ribosomal RNA". It matches the Rfam family "Eukaryotic large subunit ribosomal RNA", at positions 1038 to 2180 of the family's 3401-position model. The record is from Rfam by way of RNAcentral. Lineage: Eukaryota; Parabasalia; Trichomonadida; Trichomonadidae.
UUCGGGUUCUCAACUUAUUUCCAACUUCGAACCUCCUUGUUAGGCAUUUACCUAACUGGAAAUGCUUAAAUGAAUUAGCGUUACAAGUGGGCUCUGACCGGUAAGCGGUCAUGGCGAAAUGGGAUGAACCAUACGUCUGAAUAAGGUGCCGAAAUGUACUAUCACUGAUACCAUAAAGGGAGUCCAUGUAUUUAGACAGCAGGUCGGUGCCCCUAAAAGCAGGUAUCCGCUAAAGAGUGUGUUAAAACUCACCUGCCGAAUACUAGGGCCCCGAAAAUGAAUGGCGCAUAUAGUACUACCGAUCUCAGACAUCAGUUCUAUUGAACUGAGAGUAGGGGGAUGUGGACAUUUUUGUGAAGGUGCAAUGUGAGUUGGACUGGAAGAAUGUCUAUUACAGAUCCUAAUUGAAGUAGCGAUUAUCCAGGCUUGUAUCCUGGGGGCUGAUGAGGAGUAGGGUUUCUGGACAACUUAAACAGAUCCAGAGUUAGUCGAUCCUAAUCUCAAUAAUGGGAGAAAGGGAGUACAGUUGAUAUUCUGUAACUGACAACAGUUCGCGGCAACGCAUACUAUUUUUCUCCGCCAAUCUUAUACCGUUGGUAGGGAUCUCUUUCCUACAUGACAGUACUAAUACCCAGGGAAACUGGUCAUCAGGCGAACUGCGGCGUUCUGCUGGCAAAACAUAGCUUCGGUUAUGUCAAUGGCUAUUGGAUUGGUCCAUGAAGCGAAAAAUAGUUUACUGUGUCACUCGUACCGAUAACCGCAUCAGGUCUUCUAGGUAAGUAGCCUAUGGCCAUUGAGGCAUGAUAGUUCAGGGAAUUCGGCCAAUUAGAGCUGUAACUUCGGGAUAAAGCUUGGCUCUGAUGAAAAUCAGAACCGAUUGUUACGCGGAGAGCCCAACUGUUUAAUAAAAACGUAGUGUCGCGCUGUGGUAGUAUAGCCAG